AAGGUUUUAAUUUUUUUUCCUACCUUUAAAUCUGCAGCCAUAGUUAGUGUGAUUUAAAAUUCCUGUCAGGUUUUCUCAGUAAUCAUAAAAAUAGUGAUGUGAGUAGUUGAAAUAAAUAAUCCCAAAUAAUUUUAUCCUGAAGUACUCAUUCUCCAUCCAACAAAGUCUUUUGUUUUUUCAUCGAUUAUAGUUUUUGUCCUGCUGCAAAAUUUAUUGGCUUAGAUUUAAACUUCUUUAUUUUCUUGUAAAUUCUCUGAGAGCUGGGAAAGAACCUACAGGAUAGGGAAUGAAAUGCAGCCAAGGCCCUUUAAAAAAUCUGCACUGUAGAUGAACAAACUCUACAACUGAGAGUGGUACCUGUAUCACUGUGGCAGAUGUCCUGUUGCUCUUAGGACUCGUGGAAGAAUAGGCAGCAUGUAUUUAUUAAGGAAAAUCUGCUGUACAUACUCUUGUGCUGUAGUUUGAGCUAUUAAUCACAGAUUCUGUUUGGUUUUUGUAGAAUCACUUUAACUGUGACUGCUGAUAGAAAUAAAUGGAAGCAACCUGCUAUGUAAGCGUGAUUCAUGGUUAAAUCACUUUAAAAUUUGAAUGUUGACCCUAUAAUGGCUACUCUUGGGGGACAUUUUUGUAUCUUCAUUAGCUUCCACAGUUUUGUAUGAUGUUUUAACUCAGACAGUAAAAUGCAAGUAAAACCUGGUCUUCUAGCCUUGCAGUCUCAGGUGAAUACACUGUUUAGCUCACUGAAGAGAACUUUCAGAAAAGUUUAUUAUGAGUAAACAAAUUGUUCAUAACGUGAGAAUUGAGAACACAAUGAAAUUAAGGGAGUUUGUAAUGUAAAUAGCUACUGGGUGGUAGAGCUGUCUCUCUCACAUCACAGAAAUCAAUUUAGCUGGUGAGCUACAGUAAGAAUUGUUGCCCUUCUGAAUGAAAUCAUUUGGGGGUCAUUUUUAAUGUUUUGCUUGCUGUGUGUAGUUGCCUGCUAGAGUGCUGAAUCCACUUGACCUAACUUUCAGCUUUUGGGCUUUUAUUACAGUCCAGGGACUAACAAGGAGCCUUUGCUUCUCUGCAAGUUCAGGCCUAUGAUGUGGAUCCUGGCCACCUCUUAUACCACUGUUUGGGUAAAAACUGAGCAGGAAAUAUUCCUGUUUGAGAAUGUUACUCUUUACAAAAAGGCCUUGAAAUUUAUUAAGUGCUUUAUAGAUGAAAUUCACUAAUGUGACAAACAUUUAUAAAAUAUGUAUGAUGUAUAAGGCCCAGUGGUAGAGUGGGUGAUAGAUAAGAUAUAAUUCCCAUCUUUAAGAGAUUAGACAAAAAUAGCUGUAGUUAGCAUAACAAAUGUGAUUCAGUGAUUUAGUCAUGGUUUGAUAGUUAUUAAGCACCUACCACUAUGAAUCAGACACUGCUCGAUGCUGUAUUCAGAAGUGCUUCUUCAAGGACUCACAGUCAAAUGGCUGAACUUGGCAGACAAAAAUAUAACUGCGUGAAGACAUCAGUAGAAGUGGUAUAGAGGGGGAAGUCUGAGGAGGUGAGAACCCGUUCCUUGAGUCCUAGCAAUGUGUUAGCAGGCACGGUCCUAAGUCCUGGGAAUACAAGACCUCUGCCUUUACGGACCUUUGGCCUGAAUCUUGUGAGUUCAACAGAUGGACAAACAGAGGCCAUGUGAGACAGAGGAAACAACAUAUGUGGAGUCAUGGAAGUGGGAGACAUCAUGGCGUAUUUGGGGAAGUCAGUGAGAUUGAAUGCGACUGGGGCAGGGCACCUGAAGGAGGUGCAGAAUGGAACUGAAGUGUGUGGUCAGGUAUGGUAGGCAGAGUCCCAAAGGCUCUGCUUGGGACUCUGUUCUGGCUGGGUCCUGGCCCUUCUUUCCAGGCUCCUCUUCAACGACUGUCUCAGAGAAGUCUCUCCUGAGCACCCAUUGUAAAGGAACUGCCCAGUCACCUACCAACAUGCCACUUCCCUUUUGUUUAUUUAUAGAGUGUUCCUUAUUAGCUGACACUUUUGUUUAUGGUCUAUAUCCCAACACUUGACUAACGUUCCAUGAGAGCAUGAAUCUGGUCUGUGGUAUUGGUUGCUGUACCCCCAGCACCUAGAACCUAGCAUAAAGCUUGCAUUUAACAAAGGUUCAUAGAGUAAAUGUAGGUAUAGUUUUUUUUUUUUAUAUAUAUAUAGUUUUUUUUUUACUAUGAAUUUUGGAUUUUAUCAUGUGGACAAGCAGCUCUCAAUAUUGUUUCCCAGAUUCCUUUAUAUUUAAAAAUUAUUGGAGACCUCAAAGAGUUAUGGUUUUGUGGGUUAUGUCUAUUGAUAUUUAGGAUAUAAAAGAUAAAAACCUAGGCAUUAAAAAAAACACUUUAGGGAUCCCUGGGUGGCGCAGCGGUUUAGCGCCUGCCUUUGACCCAGGGCGCGAUCCUGGAGACCCGGGAUCGAAUCCCACGUCGGGCUCCCGGUGCAUGGAGCCUGCUUCUCUCUCUGCCUGUGUCUCUGCCUCUCUCUCUCUGUGUCUAUCAUGAAUAAAUAAAUAAAAAUAAAAAAAAAAA
RNAcentral lists this long non-coding RNA (2534 nucleotides) under Canis lupus familiaris (dog). Its description in RNAcentral is "lncRNA (ENSCAFG00845004837.1)". Lineage: Eukaryota; Metazoa; Chordata; Mammalia; Carnivora; Canidae. The record is from RNAcentral.